Non-coding RNA from Podarcis lilfordi (Lilford's wall lizard), 74 nucleotides. Lineage: Eukaryota; Metazoa; Chordata; Lepidosauria; Squamata; Lacertidae. The record is from the annotation of a GenBank genome assembly.
ACCUAUGGAUAGCUCAGUUGUAGAGCAUGAGACUCUUAAUCUCAGGGUCAUGAGUUCGAGCCCCACGUUGGGUG